Molecule: ribosomal RNA, 434 nt
Filed under: uncultured Ruminococcus sp.
Lineage: Bacteria; Bacillati; Bacillota; Clostridia; Eubacteriales; Oscillospiraceae
Description: bacterial SSU rRNA
Rfam family: Bacterial small subunit ribosomal RNA
Source: RNAcentral
ACGGGAGGCAGCAGUGGGGAAUAUUGCACAAUGGGGGAAACCCUGAUGCAGCGACGCCGCGUGAGUGAAGAAGUUAUUCGUAAUGUAAAGCUCUAUCAGCAGGGAAGAAAAUGACGGUACCUGACUAAGAAGCCCCGGCUAACUACGUGCCAGCAGCCGCGGUAAUACGUAGGGAGCGAGCGUUGUCCGGAAUUACUGGGUGUAAAGGGAGCGUAGGCGGGACUGCAAGUCAGAUGUGAAAUGCCGGGGCUUAACCCCGGAGCUGCAUUUGAAACUGUGGUUCUUGAGUGAAGUAGAGGCAAGCGGAAUUCCUGGUGUAGCGGUGAAAUGCGUAGAUAUCAGGAGGAACACCGGUGGCGAAGGCGGCUUGCUGGGCUUUUACUGACGCUGAGGCUCGAAAGCGUGGGUAGCAAACAGGAUUAGAUACCCUGGUA